CAAGUCAGUGAUGAGCAACAAUCACCAUCUUUCGUUUGAGUCUCACGACUGUGAGAUCAACCCAUGCACCGCUCUGAGACUUG
Small nucleolar RNA from Cricetulus griseus (Chinese hamster), 83 nucleotides. Lineage: Eukaryota; Metazoa; Chordata; Mammalia; Rodentia; Cricetidae. The record is from Ensembl.